RNAcentral lists this ribosomal RNA (491 nucleotides) under uncultured bacterium. RNAcentral describes it as "bacterial SSU rRNA". It matches the Rfam family "Bacterial small subunit ribosomal RNA", at positions 40 to 507 of the family's 1533-position model. The record is from RNAcentral.
CGGCGUGCCUAACACAUGCAAGUCGUACGAGAAAGCCGGCUUCGGCUGGUGAGUAAAGUGGCGCACGGGUGAGUAACGCGUGGAUAAUCUGCCCUUAAGUGUGGAAUAACGUACCGAAAGGUGCGCUAAUACCGCAUAAUGCCUGGCAACACAAGUUGUCCGGCCAAAGAAGGCCUCUGUUUACAAGCUUUCGCUUCAGGAUGAGUCCGCGUACCAUUAGCUUGUUGGUGGGGUAAUGGCCUACCAAGGCUGCGAUGGUUAGCUGGUCUGAGAGGAUGAUCAGCCACACUGGAACUGAGACACGGUCCAGACUCCUACGGGAGGCAGCAGUGAGGAAUAUUGCGCAAUGGGGGCAACCCUGACGCAGCAACGCCGCGUGAGUGAGGAAGGUUUUCGGACUGUAAAGCUCUGUCGAGCGGGAAGAAGUGUACCAUGGCUAAUAUCCAUGAUAUUUGACGGUACCGCUAGAGGAAGCACCGGCUAACUCCGUG